UUAUAUCACAUUCUCACCAAUUCUCUCGGGGUCAACUGUUUUCACUCAUAAUUCAGAGUAUGCAAUAUCACUCACAAGUUUGAAUAGUCUCUCUUUUCCUAUCACCUACACAUAACACACACACUUUUUAGGUCUUUCGGGUUGUAACUUGGCUUGGGUUAGGGUAUGGAUUAUUCAAACAAAAACGGAAAACAAGUGGGUUUUUGGUUCAGAGUCGAUGUUACAUACUGUGCUUGUUUCUCUUAUUUGCUCGGUUUUCU
Molecule: long non-coding RNA, 260 nt
Filed under: Lathyrus oleraceus (garden pea)
Lineage: Eukaryota; Viridiplantae; Streptophyta; Magnoliopsida; Fabales; Fabaceae
Description: Pisum sativum (pea) long non-coding RNA (PSAT_LNC021324)
Source: RNAcentral